GACGAACGCUGGCGGCGUGCUUAACACAUGCAAGUCGAGCGGAAAGGCCACUUCGGUGGUACUCGAGCGGCGAACGGGUGAGUAACACGUGAGUAAUCUGCCCCUCACUUUGGGAUAGCCACCGGAAACGGUGAUUAAUACCGGAUAUGACCAUAUGUCGCAUGGCGUGUGGUGGAAAGUUUUUCGGUGAGGGAUGUGCUCGCGGCCUAUCAGCUUGAUGGUGAGGUAAUGGCUCACCAUGGCUUCGACGGGUAGCCGGCCUGAGAGGGUGACCGGUCACACUGGGACUGAGACACGGCCCAGACUCCUACGGGAGGCAGCAGUGGGGAAUAUUGGACAAUGGGCGGAAGCCUGAUCCAGCAACGCCGCGUGAGGGAUGACGGCCUUCGGGUUGUAAACCUCUUUCAGUACCGACGAAGCGCAGGUGACGGUAGGUACAGAAGAAGCACCGGCCAACUACGUG
RNAcentral lists this ribosomal RNA (463 nucleotides) under uncultured bacterium. RNAcentral's name for it is "partial 16S ribosomal RNA". It matches the Rfam family "Bacterial small subunit ribosomal RNA", at positions 28 to 507 of the family's 1533-position model. The record is from RNAcentral.